RNAcentral lists this ribosomal RNA (253 nucleotides) under uncultured bacterium. Its description in RNAcentral is "partial 16S ribosomal RNA". It matches the Rfam family "Bacterial small subunit ribosomal RNA", at positions 524 to 776 of the family's 1533-position model. The record is from RNAcentral.
UACGGAGGGUGCAAGCGUUAAUCGGAAUUACUGGGCGUAAAGCGCACGCAGGCGGCUUGUUAAGUUAAAUGUGAAAUCCCCGGGCUCAACCUGGGAAAUGCAUCUGAUACUGGCAAGCUUGAGUACCGGAGAGGGGGGUGGAAUUCCAGGUGUAGCGGUGAAAUGCGUAGAGAUCUGGAGGAAUACCGGUGGCGAAGGCGGCCCCCUGGACAGAGACUGACGCUGAGGCGCGAAAGCGUGGGGAGCAAACAGG